UGGCGGACGGGUGAGUAAUGUCUGGGAAACUGCCUGAUGGAGGGGGAUAACUACUGGAAACGGUAGCUAAUACCGCAUAACGUCUCCGGACCAAAGUGGGGGACCUUCGGGCCUCACACCAUCGGAUGUGCCCAGAUGGGAUUAGCCUGUAGGUGGGGUAAUGGCUCACCUAGGCGACGAUCCCUAGCUGGUCUGAGAGGAUGACCAGCCACACUGGAACUGAGACACGGUCCAGACUCCUACGGGAGGCAGCAGAC
This 257-nucleotide ribosomal RNA is filed under the name uncultured Erwinia sp. RNAcentral describes it as "partial 16S ribosomal RNA". It matches the Rfam family "Bacterial small subunit ribosomal RNA", at positions 96 to 354 of the family's 1533-position model. Lineage: Bacteria; Pseudomonadati; Pseudomonadota; Gammaproteobacteria; Enterobacterales; Erwiniaceae. The record is from RNAcentral.